RNAcentral lists this ribosomal RNA (434 nucleotides) under uncultured bacterium. Its description in RNAcentral is "partial 16S ribosomal RNA". It matches the Rfam family "Bacterial small subunit ribosomal RNA", at positions 29 to 507 of the family's 1533-position model. The record is from RNAcentral.
AGCGAACGCUGGCGGCAGACCUAACACAUGCAAGUCGAACGAACCUUUCGGGGUUAGUGGCGGACGGGUGAGUAACACGUGGGAACGUGCCUUUAGGUUCGGAAUAACUCAGGGAAACUUGUGCUAAUACCGAAUGUGCCCUUCGGGGGAAAGAUUAAUCGCCUUUAGAGCGGCCCGCGUCUGAUUAGCUAGUUGGUUGAGGUAAUGGCUCACCAAGGCGACGAUCAGUAGCUGGUCUGAGAGGAUGAUCAGCCACAUUGGGACUGAGACACGGCCCAAACUCCUACGGGAGGCAGCAGUGGGGAAUCUUGCGCAAUGGGCGAAAGCCUGACGCAGCCAUGCCGCGUGAAUGAUGAAGGUCUUAGGAUUGUAAAAUUCUUUCACCGGGGACGAUAAUGACGGUACCCGGAGAAGAAGCCCCGGCUAACUUCGUG